AAGGAAGCUCAACAGGCCUGACUCGGGGAGACUAUCCACUCUUCGUCUUACCCAGCAACUACCCAAUGAAUUACCAUUCGGAGGUCAUCCCUCCCCGCCUGGAGUGAAUCAAAGGCAACAGGGACCAACAGGAGAAAGCUGAGCCUUGCCAGUUUAAUACUGGGUGCUGAAUGAGUUGACUAGUGUCUGUUUUGUUAUAUGUAUUUUGCUUUGGCUGGGAUGGAAAAUGUUAACUCAGUUCCCCACACAGUCUGUUGGGCAGCAUCUUGCAAAAUUGAGAAUCUUUUGCCAAUAGUUCCAUAAAACAGAAAAGGGUGAUUUCCUUUUGUAAAGUGGCUUGACCCCCACAGCUAUGCCACAGUAAGCAGGGUCAUCAAAAACCGCUCCAUUUUUCUGGAAGCUGCAGUGAAAUGGAACCCGGAAACCUGGUAUGCCGGCAAAAAGGGUUUCUGAUAACUUUGAAGAUGGCAACAGUAGAAUGAAGGGAAAUAACUUUUAGGACUCUCAUGGAGAGCUGAUAUGUUCAUGAAUAUCAAGCAAAACAGGAGUUAACUGAAUGGACUGAACUAACAGAUAAUGAAGGCCAGGUGCGGUGGCUCAUACCUAUAAUCCCAGCACUUUGGGAGGCCAAGGCAAAAGGACUGCUUGAGCCGAGAUAGCUGAGACCAGCUUGGGCAACAUAGUCAGACCUCAUUGCUCCAAAAAACCUUUUAAAAUUAGCCAAGCAUGGUGAUGCACACCUGGAGUCCACCCUACUCAGGAGGCUUAGGUGAAAGGAUCACUUGUGCCCAGGAGGUGGAGGUUGCAGUGAGCUGAAACUGCACCACUGUACUCCAUCCAUCUGGGGCAAAAGAGUGAGACCCUGUCUCAGAAAAAAAAAAAAAAAGAGAGAGUGCCAUUUCCAUAAAUGUGUGAAUUUUCCAAUUUUACUUCUGCUAGUGAGUCUAACUUCAUCCUGUUGUGGUCAGAGAAGAUACUUUGUAUGGUAUCUCUUCUUAAAUUUGAGGCAAAAAUUUGUGUCCUAAAACACGAUCUAUCCUGGAAAAUGUUCCAUGUGUAACUGAGAAGAAUUUGAAAACAAAAAAGAAAAAGGAAACAGUACCAGCCCUUUAAAUCCCCUGGAAGUCACUUGUCAAAAGAAGAGCAGUUUGAAACAAUGGUGGAAGGUAUAACAACAAUGGCUGCCCACUUCUUUGUCUGGAAAUCUGAGAUCAGAAGCAGCAAUCGGCAAUCAGAGCACAGAUCCCCAAUAUUUGGAGAACAGGCUCCUAACUUCCGCAACGUAGGUGCAAACUGCUCCAGGAAUAUGUACAUGGCUGCCUAUCACGGGGCUGGGUGUGAGAGACAGGGAGCUGGUACUGUGCUAAGAGCUGAAACUGACCAAAACAAACUACAUUUAUCAUCUAAGCCUUUUCUUGGAAACUGUAAGCAUUAAACAGUCUCCAGAGUUCCAAAAUAGUCACAUUAGAUUCUACCAGUGCAACUGUUGUCUAGGUGGGGAGACAGAUUCUUAUUGCUUCCUACUCAGCCUCUUCCCAUAAUCCUCCAAUAGAUUUUCUUAAAUAAGUUUUCCUUUAUUUGCUAUAUGACCUUAGGACCAUUUCCAGAGACUUAAAAUACUUGUGGAGCAUCUCAUGCUAUCGUUUCAGAAGUCAUCUUUGACUAUAUUAUUUUCUCUUCUUCACUGAGUAUUAAACAAGCCUUGCAUUCCUGGAAUAAAGUCCACUUGGUCACAGCAUAUGAUCUAUUUUAUAUAUUGCUAGAUUCAAAUUGCUAAUAUUUUGUUAAGGAUAUUUUUAUCAUCUUCACUGGGAACACUGGCCUUUUUUUCCCCCUGUAAUGUGUUUGCCUGAUUUUAAGGUGAGAAUAAUGCUGGCCUUAUAAUUAGUUGGAAAGUAUUCCUCCUCCUCUAUUCACUGAAAGACUUUGUGAACGAUGGGCUACAGAUAGAUUAGCGCUGUAAGGGUUCAAAAGAAAACACUGUGUCUUGAAAGGACUGAUACAGUUGGUGAAAUCUGACCUGCAAAAGCCAGUCUUAGGAGAGAGGGGUGAAGAAAUACCAUAACUAAGGGAACAAAUAUGAGAAAUUUUAAAACAAACUAAGGAAAUAAGCAGCCUACUUUGCUUAACUCAGCAACUUCUGGUACAUUGGUAAUAAGCUACUAAAACAUGAUGAUAGAAAGAAACAUACAAGGAAUUUAUAUCUCCAAUUUUCAAUUACUUCGUGAAGAAUAAUCACACCACUAUAAUCUUACUAAAUAGAUUAAGUAAAUGGAUUGUACCAUUCUUGUACAAUGUAAACAUGGUAUCACUACAUGCUAUGUACCUUUUAAAUAACAGAGCAGAAGGCAUUUGAUAUUCUUUUAGCCUGUGAAAAAUAAAAGCUCACUUUUUUAUAUUUAGAGAA
This 2407-nucleotide long non-coding RNA is filed under the name Homo sapiens (human). Its description in RNAcentral is "HSALNT0361324". Lineage: Eukaryota; Metazoa; Chordata; Mammalia; Primates; Hominidae. The record is from RNAcentral.